This 1004-nucleotide ribosomal RNA is filed under the name Enterobacter cloacae. RNAcentral describes it as "partial 23S ribosomal RNA". It matches the Rfam family "Bacterial large subunit ribosomal RNA", at positions 611 to 1616 of the family's 2925-position model. Lineage: Bacteria; Pseudomonadati; Pseudomonadota; Gammaproteobacteria; Enterobacterales; Enterobacteriaceae. The record is from RNAcentral.
UAUAAUGGGUCAGCGACUUAUAUUCUGUAGCAAGGUUAACCGUAUAGGGGAGCCGAAGGGAAACCGAGUCUUAACUGGGCGUUAAGUUGCAGGGUAUAGACCCGAAACCCGGUGAUCUAGCCAUGGGCAGGUUGAAGGUUGGGUAACACUAACUGGAGGACCGAACCGACUAAUGUUGAAAAAUUAGCGGAUGACCUGUGGCUGGGGGUGAAAGGCCAAUCAAACCGGGAGAUAGCUGGUUCUCCCCGAAAGCUAUUUAGGUAGCGCCUCGUGAACUCAUCUUCGGGGGUAGAGCACUGUUUCGGCUAGGGGGCCAUCCCGGCUUACCAACCCGAUGCAAACUACGAAUACCGAAGAAUGUUAUCACGGGAGACACACGGCGGGUGCUAACGUCCGUCGUGAAGAGGGAAACAACCCAGACCGCCAGCUAAGGUCCCAAAGUCAUGGUUAAGUGGGAAACGAUGUGGGAAGGCCCAGACAGCCAGGAUGUUGGCUUAGAAGCAGCCAUCAUUUAAAGAAAGCGUAAUAGCUCACUGGUCGAGUCGGCCUGCGCGGAAGAUGUAACGGGGCUAAACCAUGCACCGAAGCUGCGGCAGCGACGCUUAUGCGUUGUUGGGUAGGGGAGCGUUCUGUAAGCCGUUGAAGGUGGCCUGUGAGGGUUGCUGGAGGUAUCAGAAGUGCGAAUGCUGACAUAAGUAACGAUAAAGCGGGUGAAAAGCCCGCUCGCCGGAAGACCAAGGGUUCCUGUCCAACGUUAAUCGGGGCAGGGUGAGUCGACCCCUAAGGCGAGGCCGAAAGGCGUAGUCGAUGGGAAACAGGUUAAUAUUCCUGUACUUGGUGUUACUGCGAAGGGGGGACGGAGAAGGCUAUGUUAGCCGGGCGACGGUUGUCCCGGUUUAAGCAUGUAGGCGGAGGUUCCAGGUAAAUCCGGUACCUUUUAACGCUGAGGUGUGAUGACGAGGCACUACGGUGCUGAAGUAACAAAUGCCCUGCUUCCAGGAAAA